AGGAACAUGGCCGCCGUGCAGCUGCUGCGUGUGUCGGUACAUGAGCGGAUCAGCGCCGCCGCUGAAGAAUUCCUGCUGCAGGUGGAGGAAGGAGGAGGAAAGGCUCGAGUCCCGGAGCUGAGAGCGAUGCUCACCGAGCGGCUAAUGGCGGCGGGGGAGGAGAUCCUCGCGGUGCUUGAGGAAACCUUGGCAGAGUACGAGGACCGAGUGGAGCGGUCAGAAAGGUCCGAGCGGGAGAUCUGCCGCCAGAGGAGGCUGCUCGAUGCCGCGAUGCAGCCCGUAGUCCGGCUGCACAGAGCAGUGUGCCCUGCAGACGUACAGCAACUGAUGGUGAUUAAAGAAGAGGUUCCCCCUGAGCAGCAGCAGUGGAGCCCCCUUGUGGACCAGGAGGACCCAGAGCCCCCCCACAUUAAAGAGGAACAGGAGGAACCGUUGACCACUCAGGAUGGACAGCAGCUUCAAGGACUGGGGGAGGCGGAUAUCAAGUUCACAUUGACUCCUGUCGCUGUGAAGAGUGAAGAAGAUGAAGAGAAACUUAAAUCGUCAAAGCUUUGUCUGAGUGUGAGGACGGAGAACAGAGCGGACUCUGGACGACCAGAACCAGCCAGGAACUCAGGUCCUGAUGGACAUUUACAACAAGGUCCUGAGGACAAGACUGAAGACUCUUCUGAGACUGAACACAGUGUGGAUGAUUCGAUGGAGACCAGGGAAACUCAGACUAGUUUAGAUACAAGAAAUAACAAACAGCCUCUAAGUGAUAUGGGAUGUAAGAGAGAAAAAAAACCGUUUCGCUGCUCUGAGUGUGGUAAAAGAUUUACCCAAAGGAGCCAACUAAAAACACAUAUGAGGAUUCAUACAGGAGAGAAACCGUUUAGUUGCUCUGAGUGUGGUAACAGAUUUACCCAAAGGGGCAAUCUCAAUAUACAUAUGAUGACUCAUACAGGAGAGAAACAGUUUAGUUGCUCUGAGUGUGGUAACAGAUUUAACAAAAGGAGCAGUCUAAAUACACAUAUGAAGACUCAUACAGGAGAGAAACCGUUUAGUUGCUCUGAGUGUGGUAACAGAUUUAGACAAAGGGGCAAUUUAAUUACACAUAUGAGGAUUCAUACAGGAGAGAAACAGUUUAGUUGCUCUGAGUGUGGUAAGAGAUUUAGCCGUAGGGUCAGUCUAAAUACACAUAUGAUGAGUCAUACAGGAGAGAAACCGAUUAGUUGCUCUGAGUGUGGUAAAAGAUUUAACCAAAGGAACAAUCUGAAAACACAUAUGAAGACUCAUACAGGAGAGAAACCGUUUAGUUGCUCUGAGUGUGGUAAAAGAUUUAACCAAAGGAGCAAUCUGAAAACACAUAUGAAGACUCAUACAGGAGAGAAACCGAUAAGUUGCUCUGAGUGUGGUAAAAGAUUUAACCAAAGGAGCAAUCUGAAAACACAUAUGAAGACUCAUACAAGAGAGAAACCGUUUAGUUGCUCUGAGUGUGGUAACAGAUUUAGACAAAGGGGCAAUUUAAUUACACAUAUGAGGAUUCAUACAGGAGAGAAAUAGUUUAGUUGCCUUGAGUGUUGUAAAAGAGUGAAACAAAGGAGCCAUCUAAAUAAACAUAUGAGUAGUCAUACAGGAGAAAAAACGUUUAGUUGAUCUGAGUGUGGUAAAAGAUUUAAGAAGUCCUAUUUUACGAGACGUGAGGAUUCAUAAAGGUGAGAAGUGAUUCUGUUGCAAUCUUUGCAACAAAAGAUUUAUUAGGAUUUAUCAGCAGAUGUACGUAUUAUACAUAUUCAUAGUUCACUGUUUUAAGGAGACUAUUAACAGGUAUUUCCCAAGAAAAUAUAACUCAUUUAAUAAUACGAAAGAUUUGUUUAUAUAUCUUUUUUCUACUGAUUUCUACAUAAUUUAUCCAUUUUCAUAACUUCAUUUUAAGGUUAAAGUGUGUUCCUUGCACAGUAUGAAUGUGUGUUCUUAACUAGUUCAUAUGAUUAAAUAUGUUGGUUUUAAGAUAAUGGUUUCUUGGUUUGUGAGACUCAAUGACAGUGUGUGUUCUCCUUUAUGUUUUGAAUGUGACCUCUCUCUAUCUCUCUCUCAGAAUUGGGACAUUUCCUCAAACCGUGUAAACAUUGCCGACGGCGAAAAUGAAAAACGCAUGCAAUGAUGCUUCAAAAUGCAUGUGCUCGGGCCCGCUCAGUGUUGCUUUGCAGUCCUAAAAAUGUUAGAAAUUGUAUUUUAUAGUUGGUACUUUCAAGGGUUGAGCAAUCCUGGUUAUUAUUACUAUUUUUUUUUCAGGCAAAUGAAUUGGCCUUUUGGGGGCUUCAACAUGCUCAAAUUCGCACCUUCUGCGCAGAAGUUUUAUUCAGCAAAAACAGAGCAUUCCACUGGUAAAGCUUCACUAUUGUGGGCUGAGGAACCUCCGGCACAUUCCUAAUGCCUUGUUUGCGCAUGGUGAGGAGUUGCAACCCCAAAAAAGUGUUGAUGAUGACGCAGGAGCUGGACGACUGGCUCAAAGAGCAGAUCGACAAACUGGAGCAUGUGCGCCUGGCUGCGGUAGAACUGAAGGACAACAUGUCUGAGAGCCACAGUGACCUAAGCCAGUCUGUCGCUGAGCAUCUGGAAUGGUUGAAUCACUUGUCGGAGCGGGUGGAGACUCUUCACGUGAACACAGCAGUGUUUGUUCAGAUGAAUCCCAAGCCCCGUGCGUGGGCGGUGAAACAGGGCUCCAAACAUGGCUACCGCUGGGGACGCUUCCACCAGGCCGAGGACGCCCAGUCCGAGUUCGGCUGGUCCCCGAUCCGCACGCGACGAAACAGCGACGCUGCCUCUGAGAUGUCUUGCAACUGGUGACCUGGUGGACCUCCACCAAAAUAAUGACUGGAAACGAAAAGUCUUUACACAUUUCAUUUUUUAUUGGGACAUUUACACUCAUUAUCGUGCAUUAUUCUACAUCUAAUGGAAUACUAUACAUAUUCUUCUAUGCCCUGUAUUACUGUUUACUGUUGUGAUUUUUUUUUAAAUAAACACAUAGCUAUAUGUUUAGUAGCCUGUUAAGCAGCGGGUGAGAUUCGCCUAAAAUGCCUGUCUGAGGGGUACCGAAAGUAAAUUGAAAGCUGUUCUUUAACCAUUUGGAGUACAUGCAUAAUCUUGAUCUCUUUUGAAAGGUAACAUUCUGAACUUUCCCCCCAACAGUCGGAAUCAGUCUAAGUGCUACUGACAUUGAGUAAUAGCAGUUGGAACACAGUGAAGUAGAAGGUUUUUAUUUCUGCCUGAAUAUUUUUUGUUAAACAGAUGCCUGCAGAUGACUCUAGCUGGGACUUAUGAGCUGGAAAACACACUGGGACACUAUCAUGAAGCCUUGACUAGCUCAGGUUCAAAUUUGAUAACAAUACCACAGAAAAUGAAUAUUUCACAGAUUUUUUCCUAAGGGCAUGUCUAAGCGUUUUCCACAAAGGCCAUUUGGAACUAUGGUAACCAACUAGGCUAAAAAGGCUAGUUUUACACUCAAAAUCAUACUUUUAUAUGAAGGAGGCAAAACCGGUCAUAUGGUUUAAAAUGUAUACAAAUAAACAUCUUUCAUGUUG
Limanda limanda (common dab) is the source of this 3563-nucleotide RNA transcript. RefSeq lists it as uncharacterized. The record is from RefSeq and is a predicted model, not a curated record. The transcript is spliced from 5 exons. Lineage: Eukaryota; Metazoa; Chordata; Actinopteri; Pleuronectiformes; Pleuronectidae.